UCCGCUUCGCUUCCAGUCACAAGUCUGAAAUCAAGGUGCCAGCAGGGGCGGCUCAUCUCAGGAAGACCCCGUUCUGGGACUCUGUUCGCUUAGGCACGUGGAAGGCUGGAGUCUGGCAGGCCUCACCUCCCGCUUCCUCCUGAUCCUCCAGUGUCACCAGGCGACUUAGAGGGUUAAACCUGAACGGCUCACAGUGGACUGCUGAGUUCAGGCAGUGUAGGCGACAGAGACCCACAGACAGGAGCCGACCCACGUCCCUUCUUGGCUGUGCAGUUUCACGACAGCAGGAACUGCCUGCUGGCCCUGGAUUCUCCGGCUCCACCCCCAGGGACCUGGGCAGGCUGUGCUCCUGGGCUGGAUGACACCCAAGCCACCAUUCUGGAAAACCAUGGACAGUGGCAAGCAACUGAUUUCUCCUUCACGUCUUGGACAAGGUCCAGCGCCCCACACAUGAUCUUACGGUAAAUGAUCUUCCUUUUAGUCCUCGUUAUAUUAUAGUUAGGGUGCCAUAUUGAUGUUUUCUUUUUUCCUUUUUGGGGGGACUGGGUCUUGCUGUGUAGUUCAGGCUGGCCUUGAACUCACUAUAUAGCCCAGCUGGCCUUGAGCUUGCAGCGAUCCUCCUGCCUCAGCCUCCUGAGUGUAGAAUUAUAGGCACACACUACCAUGUCUGACUGAUGUUGAUGUUUCUAAAGUCACGUGCAGUGGUGAGUUCUG
RNAcentral lists this long non-coding RNA (714 nucleotides) under Fukomys damarensis (Damara mole-rat). RNAcentral's name for it is "lncRNA (ENSFDAG00000026133.1)". The record is from RNAcentral. Lineage: Eukaryota; Metazoa; Chordata; Mammalia; Rodentia; Bathyergidae.